This 200-nucleotide ribosomal RNA is filed under the name uncultured bacterium. RNAcentral describes it as "partial 16S ribosomal RNA". It matches the Rfam family "Bacterial small subunit ribosomal RNA", at positions 328 to 539 of the family's 1533-position model. The record is from RNAcentral.
ACGCUCGACACCUACGGGGGGCAGCAGUGGGGAAUAUUGCACAAUGGGGGAAACCCGUGAUGCAGCGACGCCGCGUGAGUGAAGAAGUAUUUCGGUAUGUAAAGCUCUAUCAGCAGGGAAGAAGAUGACGGUACCUGAGUAAGAAGCCCCGGCUAACUACGUGCCAGCAGCCGCUGUAAUCUGAGGCGGGCUGGCAAGGC